This 156-nucleotide ribosomal RNA is filed under the name Globba acehensis. RNAcentral's name for it is "5.8S rRNA". It matches the Rfam family "5.8S ribosomal RNA". Rfam says of the family: 5.8S ribosomal RNA (5.8S rRNA) is a component of the large subunit of the eukaryotic ribosome. Lineage: Eukaryota; Viridiplantae; Streptophyta; Magnoliopsida; Zingiberales; Zingiberaceae. RNAcentral also lists the same sequence under 9 other names. The record is from RNAcentral.
UAUGACUCUCGGCAAUGGAUAUCUCGGCUCUUGCAUCGAUGAAGAACGUAGUGAAAUGCGAUACUUGGUGUGAAUUGCAGAAUCUCGUGAACCAUUGAGUCUUUGAACGCAAGUUGUGCCCGAGGCUUUGUGGCCGAGGGCACGCCUGCUUGGGCG